CGCCUGUUUAUCAAAAACAUGUCUUUUUGUUAAUUAUUUAAGGUUUGGCCUGCUCCAUGAAUGUAAUUAAAUAGCCGCAGUAUUUUGACUGUGCAAAGGUAGCAUAAUCAUUAGUUUUUUAAUUGAAAGCUGGAAUGAAGGGUCGGAUGAGAAAGUUUCUGUCUCAGUGGUAUUUUCUUUGAAUUUUAUUUUUAAGUUAAAAAGCUUAGAUUUUAUAAAAAGACGAGAAGACCCUAUAGAGUUUAAUAGGUUUAUAAUGUAUUUAUUUGUAGGUAUAAAUUUAAUUACUUUAUAUCUUAUUUGGUUGGGGUGACUUAAGAAUUGAUUAAACUUCUUUAUUUAUUAACAUUGAUUAGUGAAUGGUUGAUCCUAAAUUUUGGAUUAUAAGAAUAAAUUACCUUAGGGAUAACAGCGUAAUUUUUUUAGAGAGUUCUUAUCGAUAAAAAGGAUUGCGACCUCGAUGUUGGAUUAAAGUUAAAUCUUGGUGCAAAAGCUAGGGAUUUA
RNAcentral lists this ribosomal RNA (504 nucleotides) under Lydus turcicus. RNAcentral's name for it is "partial large subunit ribosomal RNA". It matches the Rfam family "Bacterial large subunit ribosomal RNA", at positions 1797 to 2572 of the family's 2925-position model. The record is from RNAcentral. Lineage: Eukaryota; Metazoa; Arthropoda; Insecta; Coleoptera; Meloidae.